AGGUGCUGCACAGACUUGAGGGAUGUACAGACCAGAACAGAUCAGAGAUCCACUUGGUCGCAGAAUGAGACAGACUGAAGCUCCCUCAGACAAAAACGCAGCAAAUCAUUUUCCCGACAGCCCAUCCUCUGAAAGAAUUUUCCAUUGGAACAACAGACGACAGAAAAACAACUAUUCAUGGUGCAAACUGAUCAUCUAGAAACUACUUCGCUUCACAGCAGCCACAUUCCCGUGUGUGUGAUGUAAACGUUGACUGCGCAAAAUUUGGCGCCAGUGCGCACGAUGGAUGAACUUUUAUCCGCACAAGAUGCUUGGCUUCAGAACUUUUCCUAUUGUAACUACAGCCAUUUAAACAAGACUCAUCCAGGGAACAACGUGGUAAACCCUUUAAAGCGAAACGAAGAAGUGGCCAAAGUGGAAGUUACUGUCCUGGUGCUGGUGCUUUUGCUGGCUCUGACGGGUAACCUGUGCGUCCUGUGGGCUAUCCACACCACCAAGCACAGCAAGUCUCGGAUGUAUUACUUCAUGAAGCACCUGAGCAUCGCAGAUCUUGUUGUGGCCGUUUUUCAGGUCCUGCCGCAACUCAUUUGGGACAUAACAUUUCGCUUUUACGGACCAGAUAUUAUCUGCAGGCUCGUCAAAUAUCUCCAAGUUGUGGGCAUGUUUGCGUCCACCUACAUGCUGGUCCUGAUGUCCAUCGAUAGAUGUUUAGCAGUCUGCCAGCCGCUUCGCUCUGUGCACAAGGGGAAAGAUCGCUUCUGUGUCAUCGGAUCCUGGAUCCUCAGUCUGGUGUUCAGCACCCCACAAGCUUACAUCUUUUCUCUCAGGGAGGUCGGGAAUGGCGUCUACGACUGCUGGGGGGAUUUCGUGCAACCCUGGGGUGCAAAAGCCUACAUCACAUGGAUGAGUCUGAGCAUCUACAUAAUUCCAGUAGCGAUAUUAGGCAUCUGCUACGGUCUGAUAUGUUUUAAAAUAUGGCAGAAUAUUAAUAUGAAAACCAAGAGGGAGCACUUUUUGGCUCUGACGCCGAGGCCGUCCAAGAGCGCACAUCCACUCUCACGCGUCAGCAGCGUCAGGCUCAUUUCCAAAGCCAAGAUCCGCACGGUGAAAAUGACAUUUGUGGUGGUUAUUGCUUACAUCGUAUGCUGGACUCCUUUUUUCUUUGUUCAGAUGUGGUCUGCAUGGGAUCCAGCUGCACCAAGAGAAGACAUGGCCUUCAUCAUCUCCAUGUUGCUUGCUAGCCUUAACAGCUGCUGUAAUCCCUGGAUCUAUAUGCUCUUUGCCGGUCACCUGUUCCAUGACCUGAUAAAGAGCUUCUGCUGCUGCUGCAGAAACUAUGUUGCAGACUCAUCCUGCCAAUGCAAUCAGGAGUGCAGGCACAAGAGAGGCUCCUCCACGUUCGACAUCAAAAACGGCAGCAGUAUGAGGAGCUUGACUCACACAUCCAGCCUGGGGGGACCCACACACUGAACUGGCCAAAAGUCUAAAGCUUCCUGUGGUUGACUUGGUGCAGCAAUCCUGCAAAAUUUUGAUUUAGGCUUUUAAUCAUCUUCAGCAGAACUGAGCUUGCCUUGUCAAAUACAGUAUAUUAAACUCAGUCAAACAGAAAACAUAAACCUCCUGUCUGGAAAAGACUUUGCACCCUAUGAUAACAGAAAGUAGAACAAAACAACAUUUUAUCCAAAAUGUUAACUAAAUGGGCUGCAAAGAAAGGUUCCAAACAGAGCCUGAUCUGGUGCACAUUUCAACAUGGCAGUGUUCAAAUAUUCCCCAACAGCUUCUGUCAUCCCAACUGGACUGGACACAAUAGACCAGAUUUUGAUUGAUGAAGUUGAAAAUGUUAGCUGAGAAGACAGAGGACAGUUAAAUGUAUAAGGUUUUGAGAAGGGACAUGUUUAUGUAUCUGUAAAAGUACCUAGAAAAAGACAAGAGACUAUUUACUGAAUCUUUAGAUUGCUAGACUUGUCUGCUAUCUCUUAAGUUAAUUCACAUAUAAACAUUCUUUAGAUAUGUUUGUUUUUGCUCUUCAGAUUUAUAUUUUAGAUAUAUUAACUAUAGUUGCUUGCAAAGGUUGUGCUUUGGUAAUUAGUCAUCAGAGCUGCCAAGUUUUCCACAACAGAAUAAGGUACACCAAAACUUUUGAAAAAUAAAAAAUCCUUCAGGAAAUGUCAUUAAUCUUUACUAAUAAGUUAUGAAUAAAUCAUUGAUACCUGAAAAAAAAUGCCUGAAGCAAUGGUAAAAAAAAAAUGGGAAGUUUGUUUCUUCUUAUAGUGUAUGUAAGAAGCUGUAAAUACUUGUGUAUGAAUGUACAAAUACAUAAGUCACUUUGAUGGAUAGCAGAUUCUAAUUCAGAAAAUCAUGCUGAUAAAACAUCAAUACAUUCCAAUAUUUUAUAUUGAUUUUCCCUGAUACUUAACAACGUAAGUCGUUAUCUUUGAGAUACAGAUUAAGAUUCUGAUCAAGAUCCUAAUUUUUUACAAAUCAUGAUGGUUUCCUGGUUGUUCUGAAUUUUCUGAAAAAUUGACUGUUUUGCAGACCUUAGGGUAAUUUGAGAUCUGUAACAAAAAAAAGCUGUGAAGACAAGUAACAGCACGAUUGUCUCCUGAGGUCUGCCUUUAUCUUUACAGGAGAUGUCAUAUGAAAAUCAUAAUAAUGGGUAUAUGUGUCAGAACAUUAAAAGACCUUGUAUAAAACCACCCUGGCAGGGUGUUGCAGCUCCUCUGUGUGAAAAUAAAUAAUUCAGAGAUCAUUCUGAUUUAAAUGGAUUGACACAUCAAAGGCUAAACCUAGAGGAUUCUUCUAUUCUAUUUUGUCUAACCAUAUUUAUCCCAUCUUAACUUUAAAUCAGAAUAUUAUCUUACUUCAAAACUAAUGAAAAAUGCUCCCCUUUUGUUUUUUUGUCCUUUUACAGAAUUUUUUUUCAUAGUUAAACAGUAACCUCACCACGUGAAACAACUUGAAGGCUCUAAACAUAGAUGAAAACCUCUAAUUGGCAUCCUGCAAUUUUUCCAAGUAUAAUGUUAGAAAAUGUAGGUUUUCUGUUUUAUGAAUCCAUACAGUAAGGCUUACGGUUAUUCAUAUUCUUUCAGAAAAGGCAGACUAUGAAAAGAU
RNA transcript from Cyprinodon tularosa, 3111 nucleotides. It is a transcript of the gene named isotocin receptor-like, with no coding region annotated. The record is from RefSeq and is a predicted model, not a curated record. Lineage: Eukaryota; Metazoa; Chordata; Actinopteri; Cyprinodontiformes; Cyprinodontidae. The transcript is spliced from 4 exons.